UACGUAGGGUGCAAGCGUUAAUCGGAAUUACUGGGCGUAAAGCGUGCGCAGGCGGUUUUGUAAGUCUGUCGUGAAAGCCCCGGGCUCAACCUGGGAAUUGCAUUGGAGACUGCAAGGCUAGAAUCUGGCAGAGGGGGGUAGAAUUCCACGUGUAGCAGUGAAAUGCGUAGAGAUGUGGAGGAACACCGAUGGCGAAGGCAGCCCCCUGGGUCAAGAUUGACGCUCAUGCACGAAAGCGUGGGGAGCGAACAGG
Molecule: ribosomal RNA, 253 nt
Filed under: uncultured bacterium
Lineage: Bacteria
Description: partial 16S ribosomal RNA
Rfam family: Bacterial small subunit ribosomal RNA
Source: RNAcentral